Molecule: long non-coding RNA, 822 nt
Filed under: Populus trichocarpa (black cottonwood)
Lineage: Eukaryota; Viridiplantae; Streptophyta; Magnoliopsida; Malpighiales; Salicaceae
Description: long non-coding RNA (PTRI_LNC002573)
Source: RNAcentral
CUGGUGGGUUUAGUAGUGGAGGAAUGGAGCUGGAGCCGGGUCUUUGUCAAGUCUAUCGGGAAAGUGGCUAUCUCGGCCACCAUGGCUGACAGUGAGGUGAGGAGGAUUUUUGUGUGGGUUUUUGGUUGCUGGUGGCCAUGGCUUCCGUUCAUGGGAGACGGAGAGCACACGAAUGGAUGGAUUUUGCCGAGAAGGAGAAGGUGUCCAAUGUUUGGGCAGAUGUAGCAAAACCGGUCGCCUAGGACUUCAUUUUUUUUUUCUUUUUUCUUUUUUCUUUUUUCUUUUUUCUUUAAUGGGGGGGCAUUUUUCAUUUCUAAGAGUAAAUUAUAAAUUACUUCCUCUAAUUUUGCAAAACAAAUUUAAUAAUAUUUUUAAUCUUAAAAACUGUUUAAUUAAUUCCUUUAUCUAUUUCAUGUUUUUUUCAAUUUAUUUUGUUUUUUGUUUUAAAAAUAAAAUAAAUAAAUAAUAUGAAAAGAUAGAUGAAAAAAGAAAACAUUUCUUAAAAUAAAUUAACUCUUAAAACUAAAGGAAGUGUUUAAUUCAUUUUUACAAUACUAAAAGGAAUGAUUUAUAAAUUACUCUCUCACUCUCUCUAUCUUUAAGUUGUUUACUUGACAUUUUAUUUUUUGUUAUCCAGAUAUUUUAAAUUAUGAGUAUACAGAAAUUGGACCUGAUGUUUUUUGUUUAUUAUCCUGGUCAGGACCAGAAACCAUAGGGGAAUGGUGCUGGGGCCAAUAACAAGGACGAGGAGCACACAACUAGACGCCUAUUUCAUUCAAAUGAAGACACGCAAGGCAACACACCACUUGUAGAUGGGGAAGC